RNAcentral lists this small RNA (75 nucleotides) under Sinorhizobium meliloti 2011. RNAcentral describes it as "putative ncRNA". The record is from RNAcentral. Lineage: Bacteria; Pseudomonadati; Pseudomonadota; Alphaproteobacteria; Hyphomicrobiales; Rhizobiaceae.
ACCAACACCCAGCCUCUCGACUGUGCUGGAGAAACGCAUCGUGUCCUCUUGCACACGCUGCGAUGCGCCUUCGAC